This 295-nucleotide unclassified non-coding RNA is filed under the name Hevea brasiliensis (rubber tree). The record is from RNAcentral. Lineage: Eukaryota; Viridiplantae; Streptophyta; Magnoliopsida; Malpighiales; Euphorbiaceae.
GUUCUCUCUCUUCUCUGUUUUUCUCGAAGCUUUCAGUAAAAUGUCGACGGCGGGUGAUGGGACGGCGGCGUCAGCGUCGGCGGGAGCAUAUGAAGGAGGAGGAGGAGCCGGAGGGAAGUUUAGGAAGAGACCGUUACGACGGAACCAGACGACUCCGUAUGAUCGUCCACCGACGGCUCUCCGGAACCCUAGUUGGCUGACAAAGCUUGUGGUUGAUCCGGCGUCAAAGCUCAUAACUUCCGGUGCUCACCGCUUCUUUUCCUCCAUAUUCAGUAAACGCCUUCCUCCUCCUCCU